RNAcentral lists this unclassified non-coding RNA (253 nucleotides) under uncultured Micrococcaceae bacterium. RNAcentral describes it as "contains 16S-23S intergenic spacer region". It matches the Rfam family "Bacterial small subunit ribosomal RNA", at positions 524 to 776 of the family's 1533-position model. The record is from RNAcentral. Lineage: Bacteria; Bacillati; Actinomycetota; Actinomycetes; Micrococcales; Micrococcaceae.
UACGAGAACCUCAAGCGUUAUCCGGAAUUAUUGGGCGUAAAGAGCUCGUAGGCGGUUUGUCGCGUCUGCCGUGAAAGUCCGGGGCUUAACCCCGGAUCUGCGGUGGGUACGGGCAGACUAGAGUGCAGUAGGGGAGACUGGAAUUCCUGGUGUAGCGGUGAAAUGCGCAGAUAUCAGGAGGAACACCGAUGGCGAAGGCAGGUCUCUGGGCUGUUACUGACGCUGAGGAGCGAAAGCAUGGGGAGCGAACAGG